RNAcentral lists this ribosomal RNA (1495 nucleotides) under uncultured organism. Its description in RNAcentral is "SSU rRNA". It matches the Rfam family "Bacterial small subunit ribosomal RNA". The record is from RNAcentral.
CAUGGCUCAGGAUGAACGCUGGCGGCGUGCCUAAUACAUGCAAGUCGAACGAGUUCUGAUUAUUGAAAGGUGCUUGCAUCUUGAUUUAAUUUUGAACGAGUGGCGGACGGGUGAGUAACACGUGGGCAACCUGCCCUUAAGUGGGGGAUAACAUUUGGAAACAGAUGCUAAUACCGCAUAAAUCCAAGAACCGCAUGGUUCUUGGCUGAAAGAUGGCGUAAGCUAUCGCUUUUGGAUGGACCCGCGGCGUAUUAGCUAGUUGGUGAGGUAACGGCUCACCAAGGCAAUGAUACGUAGCCGAACUGAGAGGUUGAUCGGCCACAUUGGGACUGAGACACGGCCCAAACUCCUACGGGAGGCAGCAGUAGGGAAUCUUCCACAAUGGACGCAAGUCUGAUGGAGCAACGCCGCGUGAGUGAAGAAGGCUUUCGGGUCGUAAAACUCUGUUGUUGGAGAAGAAUGGUCGGCAGAGUAACUGUUGUCGGCGUGACGGUAUCCAACCAGAAAGCCACGGCUAACUACGUGCCAGCAGCCGCGGUAAUACGUAGGUGGCAAGCGUUAUCCGGAUUUAUUGGGCGUAAAGCGAGCGCAGGCGGUUUUUUAAGUCUGAUGUGAAAGCCCUCGGCUUAACCGAGGAAGUGCAUCGGAAACUGGGAAACUUGAGUGCAGAAGAGGACAGUGGAACUCCAUGUGUAGCGGUGAAAUGCGUAGAUAUAUGGAAGAACACCAGUGGCGAAGGCGGCUGUCUGGUCUGUAACUGACGCUGAGGCUCGAAAGCAUGGGUAGCGAACAGGAUUAGGUACCCUGGUAGUCCAUGCCGUAAACGAUGAAUGCUAGGUGUUGGAGGGUUUCCGCCCUUCAGUGCCGCAGCUAACGCAUUAAGCAUUCCGCCUGGGGAGUACGACCGCAAGGUUGAAACUCAAAGGAAUUGACGGGGGCCCGCACAAGCGGUGGAGCAUGUGGUUUAAUUCGAAGCAACGCGAAGAACCUUACCAGGUCUUGACAUCUUUUGAUCACCUGAGAGAUCAGGUUUCCCCUUCGGGGGCAAAAUGACAGGUGGUGCAUGGUUGUCGUCAGCUCGUGUCGUGAGAUGUUGGGUUAAGUCCCGCAACGAGCGCAACCCUUAUGACUAGUUGCCAGCAUUUAGUUGGGCACUCUAGUAAGACUGCCGGUGACAAACCGGAGGAAGGUGGGGAUGACGUCAAAUCAUCAUGCCCCUUAUGACCUGGGCUACACACGUGCUACAAUGGAUGGUACAACGAGUUGCGAGACCGCGAGGUCAAGCUAAUCUCUUAAAGCCAUUCUCAGUUCGGACUGUAGGCUGCAACUCGCCUACACGAAGUCGGAAUCGCUAGUAAUCGCGGAUCAGCACGCCGCGGUGAAUACGUUCCCGGGCCUUGUACACACCGCCCGUCACACCAUGAGAGUUUGUAACACCCGAAGCCGGUGGCGUAACCCUUUUAGGGAGCGAGCCGUCUAAGGUGGGACAAAUGAU